AACGAACGCUGGCGGCAUGCCUAACACAUGCAAGUCGAACGAGACCUUCGGGUCUAGUGGCGCACGGGUGCGUAACGCGUGGGAACCUGCCCUUAGGUUCGGAAUAACUCCCCGAAAGGGGUGCUAAUACCGGAUAAUGUCUUCGGACCAAAGAUUUAUCGCCUUUGGAUGGGCCCGCGUUGGAUUAGCUAGUUGGUAGGGUAAAAGCCUACCAAGGCGACGAUCCAUAGCUGGUCUGAGAGGAUGAUCAGCCACACUGGGACUGAGACACGGCCCAGACUCCUACGGGAGGCAGCAGUGGGGAAUAUUGGAGGAUGGGCGAAAGCCUGAUCCAGCAAUGCCGCGUGAGUGAUGAAGGCCUUAGGGUUGUAAAGCUCUUUUACCCGGGAUGAUAAUGACAGUACCGGGAGAAUAAGCGCCGGCUAACUCCGUG
Molecule: ribosomal RNA, 433 nt
Filed under: uncultured bacterium
Lineage: Bacteria
Description: partial 16S ribosomal RNA
Rfam family: Bacterial small subunit ribosomal RNA
Source: RNAcentral